UAGGCUGCAACUCGCCUACACGAAGCCGGAAUUGCUAGUAAUGGCAGGUCAGCAUACCGCCGUGAAUACGUUCCCGGGCCUUGUACACACCGCCCGUCACACCAUGAGAGUUGGGGAUACCCGAAGCCUGUGAGCUAACUUUUAGAGGCAGCAGUCGAAGGUAGAAUCAAUGAUUGGGGUGAAGUCGUAACAAGGUAAC
Molecule: ribosomal RNA, 199 nt
Filed under: uncultured bacterium
Lineage: Bacteria
Description: partial 16S ribosomal RNA
Rfam family: Bacterial small subunit ribosomal RNA
Source: RNAcentral